Molecule: RNA transcript, 899 nt
Organism: Syzygium oleosum
Lineage: Eukaryota; Viridiplantae; Streptophyta; Magnoliopsida; Myrtales; Myrtaceae
Exons: 2
Source: RefSeq, a predicted model, not a curated record
GCUGAGAGCAGAGCAGCUGGGAGAAAUUUUUUAAAAAAUAGCCCUCUCUCUCCACGCUCACUCUCUCUCUUUCGCGCUCCCAAUCGAAUUCAAGAUCUGGAAUUCGCUCUGCGCUCCGUCUCCCUCACGCCGACGAGCGAGGUCCGUCUCCUCACCCCGACGCCGACGCCGCCUCACUCCGACGAUUUCUCUGUCUUGCAGUUCGAGCCACGAAGCUUGGAGCAGCAGGAGCAGCAGGAGGGGACAAGGCUCAUAUCAACAAGUGGCGCUCCGGAGUUUGGAAACCAAGCUUCCGAGAUAAUGCUUCACGAGGUUGGCAUUCUCUAAUGCUCGUGCGUACAGAGGUUUACCUGAAGUGUGGAAUACUUGGUUCUUCACACUUCCGUAGGGAGAGCCAUCUAUUAUCAAGAAAAGCGACAUGGCGCGUGUCUGACUUUCCGGCAUCUGGUCUCUCUCAGAAUCUCAAAGUACCAAGUAAGCUCUACUUUGAAGCAAGUCCUUGAUUGUCCUCACUGGAUACAUGAAGUUUAUAAUGACAAGGAAAUAAGUAUUAAUGCUGUGUUUUCCAAGUACUUCUAGUUGAGUAAGGAACUCAGAGCCGUAGAAUUCCUGCAACCUCUAGCAGAAGUUGGUUUGUGUUUGCUUUCUUUUCUGGGGAUUGGUAGAAGGGGUUGAGGGAAGACUGGUGAUGGAGAUUAUACUGUUGGACUGCAACUUUAGUGUUAUCUUGUACACUUCUCGUCUCUGUAUUGCUUUGAUAUUAGGCUUGCAAGUAUUUUGGUUAUUAUAUACUGACAGUUUCUAGCAAUCUGAAUGGUGAAAGUUUUCUGAAUUAACUCGUAAUACUUUUAAGAUGGGGGGAUGGCAUCUCUGAAAUGAUCAUAUGGGGCAGUUGGAAA